UGAAAAUUUAAUAAUGAAGUGUGCUGCAAAGUGGCCAACUCAUUUUCGCCACAAUUUAUUGUCAGUUGUCGAGGUUGUUUCUUCUCUUAGCCCUUAAUAUUUAAUUUUUCCCGCUCACGGUUUCGUUAAACAAGCGGGAAAUAUCAGCCAAUCAGAGGAGACUAUGUCUACCUUCGGAGAGCAGUGGAGGGUGAGAGGGGCAACAACUGGCAACAAGCUGGCAACAAGCAACAACAACAACAACUCAAACGCAAAACAAAAACAUAACCUUCUAUUACCAUGCCCUUUUUUUGCCACUGUUUCCGUACUUUCUUAUAUUGUUCACUCGCAAUCAGUAAAGUCAUAUUGUCGGUAGACAAGCGUAAUUUAAAACUUUCAUUUCAGUUAUUUGUGCCAAAAUUCUCGCACCCUUGUUGCGGUAAGUUCCGAUUUCUCUCUGCAGACUGCUGUCAAUAAUGCAAGAUGUUGAAAGCGCUCAUUAGCAACUGCCAGCCAAAUUCUUUCACUUUGAUCGAAGAUUCUGCGGAUGUAAGUGGCAAAUUCUUACUGAAAGAAUUUAUAGAAGCCAGUAAAACUCAAUCCCAAAAAACUUUGGUGCUUUGCUUUGACAAAUCAGGUUCAUUAUUGAAAAGAGAUUUGAAUAUAGAGCUACCAACAGCAGAAUUUAUUGACUGCUGCUUCAAUUACCAAGGAUCGCUGAGCGGUCUCAACAAACCUCUUAGAUCGAUACUGGAAUCCCAUGUAUCUUUCGAUGAGAAGGUGACCAUCAUCAUAGACUCACUGACCUCACUCUAUUACAAUAAUGGUCUCCAGGAUACAUAUAGGUGCCUUCAUAGUUUACUUACAAAGCCAAUCAAGAAAGGAACUCAGUUAAUGCAGCUGGUAGCAGUUGUCCAUUCUGAUACAUUACCUGAUACCAAAAGCAUAUCAACCUUAAGUCACCUUGCCUCCACCGAAAUACUUUUGGUUCCAACCAACCUAGUCAACCGGCGACACUUAUUUAUCAAACAUGCAAAAAAAAAUGGGAAGAUAGUUAAACAGGAAGAAUAUUGUUGGUAUGACAAAAGCGGAGUGCUUCUAAGCGAAGAAAAGAAAACAGUCAGCAAAGUCGAAGAUGCUAUCGAUCCAAAUGGCCUUACAACAUUUAGACUGAGUUUAGAAGAGACGGAAAUUAGAGCACGCAGUGAACUUAGACUACCCUAUGUGAAAACAAGUGAAGAUGGUGAUACUGGCGGCAAAAUAUUUUACACUCCAGACGAUAAUGAUGACUGGGAUGAAGAAGAUCCAGAUGAUGAUCUUGACAUAUGAGAACGUUUGGAGGAUCUAAGUAUUCAUUAAACAAGGUAUCCAAAACAAAAAACGGUGGAUAACUGCUAAACCUAUCUUCGACAGUGUUUAAAACUUACUUUUGAGUUUCAGGAGCCAUGUGGCACAUCUAACUUGAUUUUUAGGGCCAAAUUCACUUUGUGCUUAUAAAUCACAGCGCUUGUAGUGAAAAGUUGGACGCAAGAUGGUUUAGUUGCAGAGCUAGUAGCUGUAAUUUGGGGGAAAUUUCGAAAAAUCACCAAAAAGAAAAAUUAGGAUUUUGUUUGGGGAGGGGGGGGGGUAAUAUUUUAGGGGCCACGUUGGUGCAGAGCCUUCAUUUUUUAGGUGCCAUGACCAAUUAUUUAGGCGCAUUUGGCGCCUGUGAGUUUCGGACACUGAUCUUUGAUGGCUAAAGUAAAAGAAUGCCCAUCUCUGAUCGUGACAUUGCAAAUCUCUGCUUAUGAUUAAAUUUCUUUUCCCCUCUUAAAAUACUCAGCAAGUUAUUUCCACCCAUUCCAAAGUAUUCAUAAGAACUUCAAUGCAAGUUUUCUCUGAAAAAAGUAAAACAUGACUGGAGUUCCUUAAACAUUGCUGUUAAAAUCUGAAUUUUCCGACUUUAGCUGUCGAUAUGGUACUGGUAUUAUUAAUAUCCUGGCAGAAUGCAGUUCUUGCCUCAAAAGAGGUACCAAUAUGCUGUCAUUUACUUUCACCCACUAUGGUUUUUCAAUAUCUGUGAUUUUUAGACUAUGGCUUUUUAAUUACAUUAAACCUGAUUUUCUCAGAUUCUUUAUUCGUGAUUUGAUUACUACUCCACCAAUAUAAGCAAAGCUAGAAGAUCUUCCGGUAUUCCACAAAACAUCUAAUUCGGUAUAUGAGGAAGACCAAUAAAAACUAAAAUUUUGCUGCAAAAUAGAAUAAAGAGACAAGUCAGUAGAAACGUAAGCUCUGAAAAGCUUGUUUUAACAUUUUGCCCAGUCGCAUGGCUUUCCUGGUGCCAGCUGAGACGUUCUACUGAUGCCAAGUAACUGCUCGAACAAUGCAGUCUUAAUACUCUAUUACAGGCAACAGCAGCCAAACAAUCCAAAAGUCUUUAGUUUAGAAAUGGCAAAUAUACACAGCACAAGUGGAAAAAUAUACAGCUAAAUAGCCAAGAUUGCUUUGUUGUCAUGAACUUGGCUGGGGUUCUCCCUUCUGUUGACUCAUCUCUUUAUUCUAUGGCUCCAGCUUUGUAUUAUUUAUAAACUAAGAGCACAGCCUCAAAAAAUAGGGCUUAGAGGAGUGUUAACAUUUUAGUUGCCGUUUUUUUAAAGCAGAGGAGGAAACUUAAAGGUUACAGUUUGCAAGUAUCAAUUGUUGAUUCAGAAUACUGAGAAAGUUGUCAAACGCCUUUUCAAAAAUAAUUUCAAAAUCAAAGAGAUAUUAAUAGAGCAGUCUUCUUUUAGAACUACUGUCUCAGUGAAGUUUCAGGAUCAUCUCUUAGAAGAAGUUGAUGCGAUAAAUGAUUUUAUAAAAUUAAAACAAAUAUCAAUUGUCUUUUUAAGAAUAUUAGAAAGCAGUUACGAAAUAUUUUCAAAACAAAAUAUUUUAUUACCUUUUCUCCACAUAAUUUUAAGGUAUAAAAAUACAAUUAGGAAAAUUCAACAAUGAGAAUUCAUUGUUUAUUUUUUUCUUCUUAUGCGCCUUCAGCAUUGACUGUUGAUCUUAUUUAUGUAUGAAAGUGAAAAAUCAAUAGGUAAGUAAUUGAUAAUAUGUCUGAAUUUAAUGAUGGUUCAGAGGACAUUGAAUCAUCCUGAGAGGAUGUUCACUGUUCAAGUACAUGAGCUAAAACUGUUUGUCUUUAGGACUGCAGUAACACAUUUUUCUGGAGAAGAAAAAGGCAAUCAAAAGGAGGGAAAAUAUAUAUAAAUAGGGAAACUUGUCCUUAAUAAGCUAUCUAAAUAAUUUUAAAAAAUUCUUGAUGAAACAGUUCAGAAACCUGCUCUCUAAACAAGGUUGAUGAAUUUUAUUUAGAGGUGCACAAGAAGAUUUACUGUAUUUUCUAUGGUUCUCAAAUGUUCAGCAAAAAAGAGAGAUACAUUUAUUAAAAAUAAGGUAUUUCCUUUGGUAAAUACAUUAUCGAAAAAGUUAUAAUUGAAGCAGUAUGAUUAUGAAUAAUCAUUUCCUUUAACAUUUUAUAGCAAUAUCUUCUUAAAUUCUGGAUUCCCUCACUGUGGUUUCAACUUAUUGUUAACACCACUUCAUUCAAGCUUCAAUUAUUAUUUACUCUACUCAAUUCUUUGUUUAAACAAACAACAUAACAUUAUACAAUUUCACUGUUUCGACUCAUAAGGAUCUGACAUGAUGUAAGUGUGGCAGUGGAACUAUCCCAAUGAACACUUUUUUUCUACAAACCUAGGCAACAACAAAGUAUAAUCUGUGUUCCAAUUUUUUAAAACAAAGAAAGGCUCAGAGAUGGACACCUCCGAUUUUGAUACUGUUUGCGGUUAUGAAUAGUUAACAGCUGAUAGAAAAGCCGCCAAAUGGGCCCCUAAAACUCCUUAAAAAUUGUCUUACUAAUGCCCCUCAAUGGUUACCUGCAGAAUGAGGAAAGAGGUCAGCCAUCUGCAUAUUGUUCAGUGGUGAUGCAAUGGAUUGGUACUCCUUUCAGGCCAGAGAAGUUGCAGAUUUGUAUUCCUGGUUAGAUACUUGUUGUAACGGCUGCUUCCAAUUUUAGAAUGGAAAUCUAUCCGCAAAAACUGAAAAAUGUCCAUUGAUCAGCUGUCCUUGAACUAACAAUUAUUGCCGCAAAGCACAUCAAAAUUGGAGGUGGUCAUUUCUGAGGAAACAUCCAUUUUUAUCUUCCUACAUAGAACUAUCUAUAGAUUACAAAAGACUUCUGAAAUAACUUGAAGAUCCGAGAUCCGCUGUUAACGCUUUGAAUCAAAUGUUCAGGGGUGCAGAAUCUUCUUGACCCAACAACAGGGGUCAUGUGGACCAACCGUACGGCCAGUUUGCAUCAGCAUUAAAAUCGCAGCCAUAAGCAAAGAGUAAAAAGGAGAGGAAAAAGAAAAAAAGUGUCAUUUUAAAAAUUUUGGAAAAAUAUGCCUUCCUAUGUGCUGGUGAAUGAAUAUCUUGUAAAGAACUUCUUUCAAGAUGUAGAAUGGCUCCUGAUCUUACAUGCUACAGGAUGAAUCAACUGACACAAAGAGUCUUGAGGUAAAAAAGGCAGCGCCACCUGCCUUUGCUUAAAAGAAAUCUAUGCCUUACUUCAUUGCAAAAUACAAUUUGGCACAUAGAUAGACUCCUAUCUCAAAUUAGUUUGUAAUUAGAGCCAGAAUUGAUGUUAGAAUUUAUGAGAUGCUAUAAUUAGGUUUAGACUCUUUACUAAAUAGAAGUAAUACAUCCAUAGGUACUUUGCUCAAGUAUUGUGGCUAUGGUCUACCAUAUUUUAGGAGAAAACUAACAUAAUAUGAUGUGACUGAUAUAAUCUAUUGCAUUAUACAUAUUAUUAUGGUAAGAGAGGAAAUUGUAGUUCCAUGGUUGCGUUCAACUAUUGGCCUCUAAAAUUUGUUAUUUCAAAGAUUCUUGUAAGGACUCAAUCUGCCUGGUCCUCUUCUUGCUAUUUCAUAAAUUUGAUUA
This 4923-nucleotide long non-coding RNA is filed under the name Bemisia tabaci. RNAcentral's name for it is "lncRNA ENSSSA1UGG011165". Lineage: Eukaryota; Metazoa; Arthropoda; Insecta; Hemiptera; Aleyrodidae. The record is from RNAcentral.